Molecule: ribosomal RNA, 1053 nt
Filed under: human gut metagenome
Description: bacterial LSU rRNA
Rfam family: Bacterial large subunit ribosomal RNA
Source: RNAcentral
GGCGCUACGACCGACGGGGCGACGGAUGGGGGUGGCUCGGCGGGGUUCUGGACGUCCCCGUGAUGGAGCGCGGCCCGCGGACCAGGGAAAUCCGGUCCGCAGAAGGGCGAGGCUCCGGACGAAGCGAUUGAGCGAAGCGAGUGAGCCCGAGGUCCCUAGAAAAACCCCUAGGCAGGCGCGUGCGCGCCCGUACCGCAAACCGACACAGGUGGGUGGGUAGAACAUACCGAGGCGAUCGGGUCAACCAUGGUCAAGGAACUCGGCACAAUGGCCCCGUAACUUCGGGAGAAGGGGUGCCCGCGCGUACGUGAACCGGCUCGCCCGGGGAGCGGAGGCGGGCCGCAGUGGAGAGGCCCAAGCGACUGUUUACCAAAAACACAGGACUCUGCAGAAGCCGCAAGGCGACGUAUAGGGUCUGACGCCUGCCCGGUGCCGGAAGGUCACGCGGAGGAGUUAGCGCAUCGCGCGAAGCCCCGAAGCCAAGCCCCGGUAAACGGCGGCCGUAACUAUAACGGUCCUAAGGUAGCGAAAUUCCUUGUCGGGUAAGUUCCGACCUGCACGAAAGGCGCAACGACUUGGGCGCUGUCUCGACCAUGGACCCGGUGAAAUUGCACUGGUCGUGAAGAUGCGACUUACCCGCGGAAGGACGGAAAGACCCCGUGAACCUUCACUGCAGCUUGGCAUUGGCCGCUGGUCCCGCGUGUAGAGGAUAGGCAGGAGGCACAGAUCCGGAGGCGCCAGCCCCCGGGGAGCCGCCCUUGGAAUACUGCCCUCGCGCGACCGGCGUCCUAACCCGAGGCCGUCAACCGGCUCGGGGACCGUGCCAGGCGGGCAGUUUGACUGGGGCGGUCGCCUCCUAAAGGGUAACGGAGGCGCGCGAAGGUCCGCUCGGGACGGUCGGCAACCGUCCUUUUGAAUGCAAGAGUACAAGCGGGCUUGACUGCGAGGCCCACAAGCCGAGCAGGUGCGAAAGCAGGCUCUAGUGAUCCGGCGGCCCCGAGUGGGUGGGCCGUCGCUCAACGGAUAAAAGGUACUCCGGGGAUAACAGGCUGA